RNAcentral lists this non-coding RNA (117 nucleotides) under Pan troglodytes (chimpanzee). The record is from Rfam by way of RNAcentral. Lineage: Eukaryota; Metazoa; Chordata; Mammalia; Primates; Hominidae.
GCUGGGUGCGGUGGCGUACACCUGUAAUCCCAGUACUUUGGGAGGCUGAGGCAGGAGAAUUGCUUGAGCCCAGGAGUUGGAGACCAGCCUGGGCAACAUAGCGAGACCCUGUCUGUA